ACUAAGUUAAUUAAACUAAUGACCUAAAAAUAACAAACUAAAAUUUAAAAGAGAAAAUAAUAAUAUUCAAAUUAAAUAAAACAAUAAGUGAAAUAAAUAAAACUGGGAGUGUAUUUUGUAAUGGGCUAGCAAAACACAGGGGUGUGAAAAGAAACUGGGUAAGGCCCAAGGUCCAUUUCACAUCUCUAGAACCCUAACUUCAUUAAGAGUAAUAAUUAAAAAAAAUAGAAAAAAGAAAGAAAAAAAACACAUGCUUCCAAUAGGGAAUUGGUAGUAUGAGAGGUUGUGGUGGUGAAGGUUU
Molecule: long non-coding RNA, 301 nt
Filed under: Lathyrus oleraceus (garden pea)
Lineage: Eukaryota; Viridiplantae; Streptophyta; Magnoliopsida; Fabales; Fabaceae
Description: Pisum sativum (pea) long non-coding RNA (PSAT_LNC000238)
Source: RNAcentral